This 253-nucleotide ribosomal RNA is filed under the name uncultured bacterium. RNAcentral's name for it is "partial 16S ribosomal RNA". It matches the Rfam family "Bacterial small subunit ribosomal RNA", at positions 524 to 776 of the family's 1533-position model. The record is from RNAcentral.
UACGGAGGGAGCUAGCGUUGUUCGGAAUUACUGGGCGUAAAGCGCGCGUAGGCGGCUUUGUAAGUUAGAGGUGAAAGCCCGGGGCUCAACUCCGGAACUGCCUUUAAGACUGCAUCGCUUGAAUCCGGGAGAGGUGAGUGGAAUUCCGAGUGUAGAGGUGAAAUUCGUAGAUAUUCGGAAGAACACCAGUGGCGAAGGCGGCUCACUGGACCGGUAUUGACGCUGAGGCACGAAAGCGUGGGGAGCAAACAGG